UACGAAGGGGACUAGCGUUGUUCGGAAUUACUGGGCGUAAAGCGCACGUAGGCGGAUUUGUAAGUCAGGGGUGAAAUCCCGGGGCUCAACCUCGGAACUGCCUUUGAUACUGCAAAUCUCGAGUCCGAUAGAGGUGGGUGGAAUUCCUAGUGUAGAGGUGAAAUUCGUAGAUAUUAGGAAGAACACCGGUGGCGAAGGCGGCCCACUGGAUCGGUACUGACGCUGAGAAGCGAAAGCAUGGGGAGCGAACAGG
This 253-nucleotide ribosomal RNA is filed under the name uncultured bacterium. RNAcentral's name for it is "partial 16S ribosomal RNA". It matches the Rfam family "Bacterial small subunit ribosomal RNA", at positions 524 to 776 of the family's 1533-position model. The record is from RNAcentral.